Non-coding RNA from Lepisosteus oculatus (spotted gar), 699 nucleotides. The record is from RefSeq and is a predicted model, not a curated record. Lineage: Eukaryota; Metazoa; Chordata; Actinopteri; Semionotiformes; Lepisosteidae.
UCAGAGGACUAUACUGACCACAGAGACUGGCUGGACACAGUUUUUUACUGAAGAGACAUUUUUCCUGAAAUGUGUCGUGCAGAGGGAUCCAGCAAAAUGGACAAUAAAACGAAAAAAAGAUGGAAAAGUAGAAACGGCUUGUACUGCAUACAGCUUGGAAAAUAUUCAGAAGUGCUCUUUCAUAUCCCCCUCUGUGUCCCACAGUGGAAAGUACUGGUGUGAAUCUGAAUCAGGAGAGUGCAGCAACACCCUCAAUAUUACUGUGUACAGUGGAGAUGUCAUUUUGAGAGUUAGUCCACAACCCUUAAGCAAAGGAAGCACUGGGAAUCUAAGCUGUGCUGUGCGACAUAACCCUAACCACACUUGUGGUUUUCCCUCAAUUCAAAAUGUUGUGUAUUUCAGAAAUGGACUAAUAUUACACAACCAGAAAAACAGCACUCAUGAUGAAGGACAUUUUAAGUGCAGAGUUAAUUAUACAUUAAAAUGUCAGAAAAGCAAGACAUCAUACUCUGUGGAAUCACCUGACAUCCUGGUGUCGAUGACAGAACAAAUCCCCAGUCUGAAUCUAACAGUACCUUCAACACCCAGAGUGACCAAAAAUCAGAGUGAAUCAGCAUUUGUCCUCAGUCUGGGCCUGGGUCUGGGUAUAGGUUUGGGUUUUACUUUCCAGGUCAUCUUCAUAAUACUUUUACUGAGACA